GACGAACGCUGGCGGCGUGCCUAACACAUGCAAGUCGAACGGUCCGGCACUCAACCGACCCUCAGUCUAGCUGUAGGUGAAGUUGAGUGCCGGAUAGUGGCGGACGGGUGAGUAACGCGUGGGCAACCAACCCUGUACAGUGGGAUAACACCGGGAAACCGGUGCUAAUACCGCAUGACACCUAGAUGGUGCAUACUGUUUAGGUUAAAGGAUUUAACCGGUACAGGACGGGCCCGCGUCCCAUUAGCUGGUUGGUGAGGUAACGGCUCACCAAGGCGACGAUGGGUAGCCGACCUGAGAGGGUGACCGGCCACACUGGGACUGAGACACGGCCCAGACUCCUACGGGAGGCAGCAGUGGGGAAUAUUGCGCAAUGGACGGAAGUCUGACGCAGCGACGCCGCGUGAGCGACGAAGGCCUUCGGGUCGUAAAGCUCUGUUCUUGGGGACGGAAUAAAAUGAGGUACCCAAGGAGAAAGCCCGGCUAACUAACGUGCCAGCAGCCGCGGUAAAAGUCACGUCGC
This 523-nucleotide ribosomal RNA is filed under the name uncultured bacterium. Its description in RNAcentral is "bacterial SSU rRNA". It matches the Rfam family "Bacterial small subunit ribosomal RNA", at positions 28 to 535 of the family's 1533-position model. The record is from RNAcentral.